GGAAUUCGCAAGGCGAUAAUACGCUGAACAGAGCCGAUCAAGAAUUAUGCGCCUGCGUGAUCUGAAGAAGGUGGAGCGAAGGUUCUCUCGUCGACGCAUGCGCUUUGGCAGGCAUCGCCCCGCGCAGGUUGUAAGCCAUGGCGCAAUCUGAGAAAAAAGGUGGAUUACUUCGGAAAUCUUCAUCUAGUAAGAAACCCCUGAAAGAGAAGGUUGUGCUAAUGUAUGACGAGAUCUUCACAACAGAAGAUCCUAGUAAAUACAACCCUCGGUUUUGGGAGGAGCUCUUCCUCAUGAAGGUGAAUUUGGAAUAUCUGGAAGGAAAGCUGGAAUCUCUGGAUGGUGAAGAGCUAAUGAAGAUAAAAGAUAACAUUAAUUGCUUGUUCCAGCGUUGCAUUUGGGCUUUAGGAGAAGAGCACCCAAUCAGAGUGGUCAAUGCAUUGCAGACCCUAUGUGCGCUGAUCCGUGGGGUUCAUCAGAAGAACAAAUCCACAUCUGGUUUUGACAUCAUCAAUAUGCUAAUGGGCUUUGACAAGGCUGAAUUGUGCAUGAAGAAUCUGAUGGAGAGUUUGGAUGCUUUACUUUGUGCAGAAGGCUCUGAAAGUCUCAAAAGUUUGUGCCUGAAGCUUUUGCUUUGUUUGGUGACUGUGACAGAUAAUAUCAGUCAGAACACAAUUCUGGAAUAUGUGAUGAUUAAUAGCAUUUUUGAAGCUAUCUUACAGAUCCUUUCUAAUCUUCCCAGUCGCAGGGAACACGGUUAUGAGGCCGUGGUCCUGCUUGCAUUAUUAGUGAACUAUAGAAAGUAUGAGUCUGUGAAUCCUUAUAUAGUAAAACUAUCUAUUAUAGAUGAUGAAGCUACACUGAAUGGAAUGGGUCUUGUAGUUGCCCAGGCGUUAUCAGAAUAUAAUCGACAGUUCAGAGACAAAGAAGAAGAACAUCAGAGUGGAUUUUUCUCAGCCUUGACUAACAUGGUGGGCAAUAUGUUCAUUGCUGAUGCUGAUGAAAAAAUCUCAGUCCAAACUAACGAAGCUAUCCUUUUGGCUCUUUAUGAAGCUGUUCACUUGAAUCGAAACUUUAUCACUGUAUUGGCACAGAGUCAUCCUGAAAUUGGUUUAGUAACAAUUCCGGUAAGCCCAGUUCCGACUACACCCGUUACUCCACUUGGAACCACACCACCUUCUUCUGAUGUCAUAAGCACUGUAGAGCUUCCCUUGGAUGCUGACGUGCAGACAAGCAACCUGCUGAUAACCUUCUUAAAGUACAGUUCUAUUGUCAUGCAGGAUACCAAAGAUGAACACCGGCUCCAUAGUGGAAAGCUCUGCCUGAUUAUCUUAACCUGCAUAGCAGAGGACCAGUAUGCUAAUGCUUUUCUGCAUGAUGACAAUAUGAAUUUUCGUGUAAACCUCCACAGAAUGCCUAUGAGACACAGAAAGAAAGCUGCUGAUAAGAAUCUUCCCUGUCGACCUCUAGUUUGUGCAGUGCUGGAUCUGAUGGUGGAAUUCAUAAUAACACACAUGAUGAAAGAAUUUCCCAUGGAUCUCUAUGUAUGCUGUAUUCAAAUAGUACACAAGCUGCUUUGCUACCAGAAAAAGUGCAGAGUGAGACUUCAUUACACUUGGAGGGAACUCUGGACAGCUCUGAUUAAUCUGUUGAAGUUCCUCAUGUCUAACGAAACAGUUUUGCUGGCAAAAUAUAACAUCUUUACCUUGGCUCUGAUGGUGAUAAACCUAUUUAAUAUGUUCAUCACUUAUGGAGAUACCUUUCUUCCAACUCCUAGCAGCUACGAUGAGCUUUAUUAUGAAAUAAUCAGGAUGCACCAGAGUUUUGAUAACCUAUAUUCCAUGGUUCUAAGGCUUUCUACUAAUGCUGGCCAGUGGAAGGAGCCAGCCAGUAAGGUGACUCAUGCAUUGGUCAACAUACGAGCUAUCAUCAACCACUUCAAUCCAAAGAUAGAGUCCUAUGCUGCCGUUAAUCACAUCUCACAGCUCUCUGAAGAACAGGUUCAAACUUCAAAACCAGAUGAUCGGAAUAUUUUCAGUUUGACAAGGUUUUGGAAGUGGUGCGCUCCAACUAUGAUACACUUACCUUAAAAUUACAGGAUGGGCUUGACCAAUAUGAGCGCUACUCAGAACAACACAAAGAAGCCUCUUUCUUUAAAGAGCUGGUUCGGUCCAUCAGCAUCAAUGUACGGCGAAAUCUGGCAUUCAACACUCUUAGCCAGGAAGCCCUGCUAAAAGAGUUUUCAACCAUCUCCUGAAGUUAUGUACUUGCUUCAUAACUAGUCCUGAUAUUACCGUAUCACUUCCUGCAGAAUAGCUCCUGGAUGUGGAACAGUCUAACUCUACUGUGUGCUUUUGUUUUUGUUUUGUUUUGUUUUUACAGAGAAGAUCAAGGGAAGGCCUAGACUUACCCCAUACUCUUGAGCAUAGAGAAUUAACAAUAUAGACUGCAUUGGGAGUGGGAAAGAAGGGGCAUGGGGUUAUUUCUCUUUUUUAAUUUCUUUGUGACAACUGUUGUGUAGAGAUAAGAAUUGUUUACUGAGUGAGCAAGAAUAGAGCAGAAGAGGCUUAGAGAGUUUAUACUUAAUGGUUCUCUGAAGACUGCUGAAGCCUGAAGCAAGAAAGGGGAACAGGAACCAAGGUCUUGAUAAUAUGGAACUGUCUGGUUGGACACUUAUCUUAUGUAAAUUUGUACUUGGAUGCUUUGAAUCUGCAGUUCAUGUAUGUUGUUAGGUCCGUUUUAGUUGGUGCUGAAAUUAACAGCUACGGGCUCUGUCUUUAUUCUGCACAAGGCCUCCUACUAUUCUAAUGGUCUUGACAGAACUCCACCUCAGGAUGGUCUUGGUGCCCAACCUAAAGCUCUCGCUGUCUGGAGUUUCUUAGUUGAGAGAUUAUCUCUAUGAGUUUAUUCUUACUGUUCCACUGUGCCAUGUUUUAAAACCUUGGGAAUGAAGAUAUUAAGAUGUAUCAGUGAUUCCCCCACCCCAAAGGAGCAAUAAGGGAAAACAUUGUUUGGUUUUACUUCUACCAUUGUUGUGCAUCAAAAGAAGCCAGUUCUUCCUGUACCCAGAAGACUGACUGAGCUCUUGCCCUAGAGUCCUUAACUUUUUUCUGGUCUGGUAGCCAUAGAUUCUCUACAUACUGGUAGGGUAAUCGAGUGCUCCCAUCAGGCUUGUCACUGUUCUUUCUAUCAAAAAUAACCUCUGUGAAUUCCACAGUGAUUGCAGAUGUUUAAGUCAGUUCACAAUUUAUGUAUUCCAAUAAAGUACUUCAUUGGAAAUUCAGAAUUAAAAUAAUAAUUUGUCUAUUUUAUCAGUUCUUACUUUUUUAAAAAAGAAAUAUUUAUUUGGGAGGGAAAUAUAUUUAUAGUCAUUCUUUACUCCUGUCCAUCAAAUGAAAUAACUCAUGUGAACUAGAGUUGUACAAUUAUUCUGUCAAUUUUUUCUCAUUAUUUGCAGGAUUUAUUUUCCAGCCAUUUUUAAUGAAAAUGAUAACUAAGACACUUAAUUUUUUGCAUUGUAUGUAAAGAAUUCACACAACUGCACUUUGUUAGAAAAUUAAAAGUUGUGAUUCUGGCA
Crotalus tigris (Tiger rattlesnake) is the source of this 3574-nucleotide RNA transcript. It is a transcript of the gene named armadillo like helical domain containing 3, with no coding region annotated. Lineage: Eukaryota; Metazoa; Chordata; Lepidosauria; Squamata; Viperidae. The record is from RefSeq and is a predicted model, not a curated record. The transcript has 27 exons.